RNAcentral lists this ribosomal RNA (465 nucleotides) under Vreelandella stevensii. RNAcentral describes it as "partial 16S ribosomal RNA". It matches the Rfam family "Bacterial small subunit ribosomal RNA", at positions 338 to 795 of the family's 1533-position model. Lineage: Bacteria; Pseudomonadati; Pseudomonadota; Gammaproteobacteria; Oceanospirillales; Halomonadaceae. The record is from RNAcentral.
CCUACGGGGGGCAGCAGUGGGGAAUAUUGGACAAUGGGGGGAACCCUGAUCCAGCCAUGCCGCGUGUGUGAAGAAGGCCCUCGGGUUGUAAAGCACUUUCAGUGAGGAAGAACGCCUGGUGGUUAAUACCCAUCAGGAAAGACAUCACUCACAGAAGAAGCACCGGCUAACUCCGUGCCAGCAGCCGCGGUAAUACGGAGGGUGCGAGCGUUAAUCGGAAUUACUGGGCGUAAAGCGCGCGUAGGUGGCUUGAUAAGCCGGUUGUGAAAGCCCCGGGCUCAAACUGGGAACGGCAUCCGGAACUGUCAAGCUAGAGUGCAGGAGAGGAAGGUAGAAUUCCCGGUGUAGCGGUGAAAUGCGUAGAGAUCGGGAGGAAUACCAGUGGCGAAGGCGGCCUUCUGGACUGACACUGACACUGAGGUGCGAAAGCGUGGGUAGCAAACAGGAUUAGAUACCCUUGUAGUC